RNAcentral lists this ribosomal RNA (1254 nucleotides) under Microbacterium paraoxydans. RNAcentral describes it as "bacterial SSU rRNA". It matches the Rfam family "Bacterial small subunit ribosomal RNA", at positions 195 to 1461 of the family's 1533-position model. The record is from RNAcentral. Lineage: Bacteria; Bacillati; Actinomycetota; Actinomycetes; Micrococcales; Microbacteriaceae.
GCGUUUGGAAAGAUUUUUCGGUUGGGGAGGGGCUCGCGGCCUAUCAGCUUGUUGGUGAGGUAAUGGCUCACCAAGGCGUCGACGGGUAGCCGGCCUGAGAGGGUGACCGGCCACACUGGAACUGAGACACGGCCCAGACUCCUACGGGAGGCAGCAGUGGGGAAUAUUGCACAAUGGGCGGAAGCCUGAUGCAGCAACGCCGCGUGAGGGAUGACGGCCUUCGGGUUGUAAACCUCUUUUAGCAGGGAAGAAGCGAAAGUGACGGUACCUGCAGAAAAAGCGCCGGCUAACUACGUGCCAGCAGCCGCGGUAAUACGUAGGGCGCAAGCGUUAUCCGGAAUUAUUGGGCGUAAAGAGCUCGUAGGCGGUUUGUCGCGUCUGCUGUGAAAUCCCGAGGCUCAACCUCGGGCCUGCAGUGGGUACGGGCAGACUAGAGUGCGGUAGGGGAGAUUGGAAUUCCUGGUGUAGCGGUGGAAUGCGCAGAUAUCAGGAGGAACACCGAUGGCGAAGGCAGAUCUCUGGGCCGUAACUGACGCUGAGGAGCGAAAGGGUGGGGAGCAAACAGGCUUAGAUACCCUGGUAGUCCACCCCGUAAACGUUGGGAACUAGUUGUGGGGUCCAUUCCACGGAUUCCGUGACGCAGCUAACGCAUUAAGUUCCCCGCCUGGGGAGUACGGCCGCAAGGCUAAAACUCAAAGGAAUUGACGGGGACCCGCACAAGCGGCGGAGCAUGCGGAUUAAUUCGAUGCAACGCGAAGAACCUUACCAAGGCUUGACAUAUACGAGAACGGGCCAGAAAUGGUCAACUCUUUGGACACUCGUAAACAGGUGGUGCAUGGUUGUCGUCAGCUCGUGUCGUGAGAUGUUGGGUUAAGUCCCGCAACGAGCGCAACCCUCGUUCUAUGUUGCCAGCACGUAAUGGUGGGAACUCAUGGGAUACUGCCGGGGUCAACUCGGAGGAAGGUGGGGAUGACGUCAAAUCAUCAUGCCCCUUAUGUCUUGGGCUUCACGCAUGCUACAAUGGCCGGUACAAAGGGCUGCAAUACCGUGAGGUGGAGCGAAUCCCAAAAAGCCGGUCCCAGUUCGGAUUGAGGUCUGCAACUCGACCUCAUGAAGUCGGAGUCGCUAGUAAUCGCAGAUCAGCAACGCUGCGGUGAAUACGUUCCCGGGUCUUGUACACACCGCCCGUCAAGUCAUGAAAGUCGGUAACACCUGAAGCCGGUGGCCUAACCCUUGUGGAGGGAGCCGUCGAAG